RNAcentral lists this ribosomal RNA (295 nucleotides) under uncultured bacterium. RNAcentral's name for it is "partial 16S ribosomal RNA". It matches the Rfam family "Bacterial small subunit ribosomal RNA", at positions 334 to 627 of the family's 1533-position model. The record is from RNAcentral.
GGUACCUACGGGGGGCAGCAGUGAGGAAUAUUGGUCAAUGGCCGAGAGGCUGAACCAGCCAAGUCGCGUGAGGGAAGACGGCCCUACGGGUUGUAAACCUCUUUUGUCGGGGAGCAAAGCGAGUCACGUGUGACUCAUUGAGAGUACCAGAAGAAAAAGCAUCGGCUAACUCCGUGCCAGCAGCCGCGGUAAUACGGAGGAUGCGAGCGUUAUCCGGAUUUAUUGGGUUUAAAGGGUGCGCAGGCGGAGGUGCAAGUCAGCGGUCAAAUUGCGGGGCUGAACACCGUACUGCGGU